RNAcentral lists this ribosomal RNA (374 nucleotides) under uncultured organism. RNAcentral describes it as "partial 16S ribosomal RNA". It matches the Rfam family "Bacterial small subunit ribosomal RNA", at positions 527 to 896 of the family's 1533-position model. The record is from RNAcentral.
GUAGGUGGCAAGCGUUGUCCGGAAUUAUUGGGCGUAAAGCGCGCGCAGGCGGUUCUUUAAGUCUGAUGUGAAAGCCCACGGCUCAACCGUGGAGGGUCAUUGGAAACUGGAGAACUUGAGUACAGGAGAGGAAAGCGGAAUUCCACGUGUAGCGGUGAAAUGCGUAGAGAUGUGGAGGAACACCAGUGGCGAAGGCGGCUUUCUGGUCUGUAACUGACGCUGAGGCGCGAAAGCGUGGGGAGCAAACAGGAUUAGAUACCCUGGUAGUCCACGCCGUAAACGAUGAGUGCUAAGUGUUAGGGGGGUUUUCCGCCCCCCUUAGUGCUGCAGCUAACGCAUUAAGCACUCCGCCUGGGAGUACGGCCGCAAGGCUG